RNAcentral lists this ribosomal RNA (921 nucleotides) under uncultured Bacteroidota bacterium. RNAcentral's name for it is "bacterial SSU rRNA". It matches the Rfam family "Bacterial small subunit ribosomal RNA", at positions 1 to 917 of the family's 1533-position model. The record is from RNAcentral. Lineage: Bacteria; Pseudomonadati; Bacteroidota.
UGGAUCCAGACUUUGAUCAUGGCUCAGGAUGAACGCUAGCUACAGGCUUAACACAUGCAAGUCGAGGGGCAGCAUGGGAUUAGCUUGCUAAUCCUGAUGGCGACCGGCGCACGGGUGCGUAACGCGUAUCCAACCUGCCCUCUACUCCGGAACAGCCCGUCGAAAGGCGGAUUAAUGCCGGAUGGUGUCACAUGCCCGCAUGAGUGUGUGACUAAAGGCAACGGUAGAGGAUGGGGAUGCGACUGAUUAGCUAGUUGGCGGGGUAACGGCCCACCAAGGCUACGAUCAGUAGGGGUUCUGAGAGGAAGGUCCCCCACAUUGGAACUGAGACACGGUCCAAACUCCUACGGGAGGCAGCAGUGAGGAAUAUUGGUCAAUGGGCGAGAGCCUGAACCAGCCAAGUAGCGUGCGGGACGACGGCCCUAUGGGUUGUAAACCGCUUUUGAUUGGGAACAAAGAGCGCCACGUGUGGUGCGUUGCGUGUACCUUUCGAAUAAGCAUCGGCUAAUUCCGUGCCAGCAGCUGCGGUAAUACGGAAGAUGCGAGCGUUAUCCGGAUUUAUUGGGUUUAAAGGGAGCGUAGGCGGGCUGUUAAGUCAGCGGUCAAAUGUCAGGGCCCAACCUUGGCAUGCCGUUGAUACUGGCGGCCUUGAGUUCACACAAGGAAGGUGGAAUUCGUCGCGUAGCGGUGAAAUGCUUAGAUAUGACGAAGAACUCCGAUUGCGAAGGCAGCCUUCUGGGGUGUUACUGACGCUGAGGCUCGAAAGUGCGGGAAUCAAACAGGAUUAGAUACCCUGGUAGUCCGCACCGUAAACGAUGAGCGCCCGUCAUUGGCGACACACAGUCAGUGACCAAGGGAAACCGUUAAGCGCUCCACCUGGGGAGUACGCCGGCAACGGUGCAACUCAAAUGAAUUGACGGA